RNAcentral lists this ribosomal RNA (402 nucleotides) under uncultured bacterium. RNAcentral describes it as "bacterial SSU rRNA". It matches the Rfam family "Bacterial small subunit ribosomal RNA", at positions 355 to 774 of the family's 1533-position model. The record is from RNAcentral.
UGGGGAAUAUUGCACAAUGGGGGAAACCCUGAUGCAGCGACGCCGCGUGAGGGAAGACGGUUUUCGGAUUGUAAACCUCUGUCUUGUGGGACGAUAGUGACGGUACCACAGGAGGAAGCCAUGGCUAACUACGUGCCAGCAGCCGCGGUAAUACGUAGAUGGCGAGCGUUGUCCGGAAUUACUGGGUGUAAAGGGAGUGUAGGCGGGCUGGUAAGUUGAAUGUGAAACCUUCGGGCUCAACCCGGAGCGUGCGUUCAAAACUGCUGGUCUUGAGUGAAGUAGAGGCAGGCGGAAUUCCCGGUGUAGCGGUGGAAUGCGUAGAUAUCGGGAGGAACACCAGUGGCGAAGGCGGCCUGCUGGGCUUUUACUGACGCUGAGGCUCGAAAGCAUGGGUAGCAAACA